UUGGGCUCAGGUCCUGGCAGAAGACCCCACACACUUUGGCUGAAAUCACGGUCGCCCCACCAUUCCUUUUUUAUUGUUUUGGAGACAGGGUCUUGCUAAGUAGCCCAGGCUGGUCUUGAGCCCAUGAGGAUCCUCCUGCCUCAGCCUCCUGAGUGCUGCGAUGACAAUGUUUUGAACAGGUUCAGGACAUCAGGGCAGCCUCUCUGCCUGCCUGCCUGCCUCAGAAGUCUCCGGGGAGGCCUUGAUGGCAGGAAGACCUCUGGAAACACAGUGGACAGGCAUACAGGUGCCAGGUGACAGGUGGGGGACAAGGCAGACCGCCCUGAGAAGGCAGUGUGAACACAGAGCAGAGGAGAUGAUAGCUUGCCAGAUGGAAGUCCGAGAUAGAGCAUGCUGGGCACAGUAGGCACCGUGCAAAGGCCCUGGGGCAGGAGUACUCACUGCACCAUCGGAGCAACCAGGAGCCCAGGAGAGGUGGAGCCAUUGGCUCCUGUGCUCUUGGGUUGAGUGGUUCUGUGACCCCUCUGGUGAAAGCACACGUCCCUCCCUUCCCAAGCUGCCGUCAGGGCUGAGCUGUCCCGGCCGUCUCUUCCCCACCAUCACCACCGCUCGGGGCCUCCGCACAGUUCCGCAAGUGUCCGCCGUGGUGCCAGCACCACCAGCCAUCCAGGCAGCUCGGCAGACAGGAGGCAUCACCUGUGCUUCCUGGCGGGGUGCAGGGCCUGUGGGGCGCGGAGGUGCAUGAGAAAAAGGCCCCAUCCUCUGGAACUCGUCACCAGCUAGGGGAGCUUCAAACAGUGACAACGACAGGAAAAACCGCGUGCGAUGCCUCCGAUGGCACGGCCAGCCUGUCCUCUGCAGCAGGUGACCCAGCGUGGAGGGGGUGUGUCGCGCUUGUCUGCUGAUGCGCCCCUCUGCCUUCGUUUCAUGGGACAGUGUCUUAGUGGAAUCGGGUGCGCUGGGUUCACACACAGGGCUCAGCAGGUGCGUGCUGAACUGACGGAUGGGUGGGGCAGGGUGGAGGACAGAUGGAUGGCAGUGGAUGACCGACGGAUGAACAAAUGGAUGGAUGGAUGAUCGGUGAAUAGAUGGAUGGAGAAUGGAUGGAUGGACAAAUGUUUUGUUUUUGCAGUGCUAGGGACUGAACCCAGGGUCCCGGCAUUCUAAGCCACUCUGCCCCUGAGCGACACCCGCAACCCGGACAGAUGGGCAAGGGACGGACAGCUGGAUACAUGGACGGAUGGAUGUGUAGGUGGGUGGGUGGGAGGGGUGGCAAGCCAGUGGAG
Long non-coding RNA from Chinchilla lanigera (long-tailed chinchilla), 1286 nucleotides. RefSeq lists it as uncharacterized. The transcript has 3 exons. The record is from RefSeq and is a predicted model, not a curated record. Lineage: Eukaryota; Metazoa; Chordata; Mammalia; Rodentia; Chinchillidae.